CCUACGGGCGGCUGCAGUGGGGAAUUUUGCACAAUGGGCGAAAGCCUGAUGCAGCGACGCCGCGUGAGCGAAGAAGGUCUUCGGAUCGUAAAGCUCUGUUUUAAGGGAAGAUAAUGACGGUACCUUAAGAGAAAGCCCCGGCUAACUACGUGCCAGCAGCCGCGGUAAUACGUAGGGGGCAAGCGUUAUCCGGAAUCACUGGGCGUAAAGGGUGCGUAGGCGGCCAUUAAAGUCAGAGGUGAAAUCCCAGGGCUCAACCCUGGUAAGCCUUUGAAACUUAAUGGCUUGAGUACAGGAGAGGAGAGUAGAAUUCCUAGUGUAGCGGUGAAAUGCGUAGAUAUUAGGAGGAAUACCAGUGGCGAAGGCGACUCUCUGGACUGUAACUGACGCUGAGGCACGAAAGCGUGGGUAGCGAACAGGCUUAGAUACCCUGGUAGUC
This 439-nucleotide ribosomal RNA is filed under the name uncultured Clostridiaceae bacterium. RNAcentral describes it as "bacterial SSU rRNA". It matches the Rfam family "Bacterial small subunit ribosomal RNA", at positions 338 to 795 of the family's 1533-position model. The record is from RNAcentral. Lineage: Bacteria; Bacillati; Bacillota; Clostridia; Eubacteriales; Clostridiaceae.